This 220-nucleotide long non-coding RNA is filed under the name Setaria italica (foxtail millet). RNAcentral's name for it is "long non-coding RNA (SITA_LNC000440)". The record is from RNAcentral. Lineage: Eukaryota; Viridiplantae; Streptophyta; Magnoliopsida; Poales; Poaceae.
CUUAUUAAAGGUACGCAGGAGGGGGAGACAAGCAAUAAAUGAGGGGUAUAGGUUGUCCAGCCCAUCUUUUAGCAAGUUUUAGCAACCAAAAACUUGCUAAAGUGCUAAACUUUAGCAACUCAACUUUAGCAAGUUUUAGCAAGGGUGUUUGGCAGUUUAGCAGCUAAAAGUUGCUAAACUUUAGCAACUAAAGUUUAGCAAGGUGGAACCAAACACCCCC